UACAGAGGUCCCAAGCGUUGUUCGGAUUCACUGGGCGUAAAGCGUGCGCAGGCGGUUAUGGAAGACAGGUGUGAAAUCCCAGGGCUUAACCUUGGAACUGCAUUUGUGGCUGCAUAGCUAGAGUACGGUAGAGGGGGAUGGAAUUCCGCGUGUAGCAGUGAAAUGCGUAGAUAUCAAGUGGAACACCAGUGGCGAAGGCGAGUCCCUGGACAACUCCUGACACUGAGGCACGAAAGCUAGGGGAGCAAACAGG
Molecule: ribosomal RNA, 253 nt
Filed under: uncultured bacterium
Lineage: Bacteria
Description: partial 16S ribosomal RNA
Rfam family: Bacterial small subunit ribosomal RNA
Source: RNAcentral